This 341-nucleotide unclassified non-coding RNA is filed under the name soil metagenome. RNAcentral describes it as "partial contains 5.8S ribosomal RNA, internal transcribed spacer 2, and large subunit ribosomal RNA". The stretch from base 1 to 120 matches the Rfam family "5.8S ribosomal RNA", at positions 35 to 154 of the family's 154-position model. The record is from RNAcentral.
GAUGAAGAACGUAGCGAAAUGCGAUAAGUAGUGUGAGUUGCAGAAUUCAGUGAAUCAUCGAAUCUUUGAACGCACAUUGCGCCCUUUGGUAUUCCAAAGGGCAUGCCUGUUCGAGCGUCAUUUGUACCCUCAAGCUUUGCUUGGUGUUGGGCGUCUUGUCUCUAGCUUUGCUGGAGACUCGCCUUAAAGUAAUUGGCAGCCGGCCUACUGGUUUCGGAGCGCAGCACAAGUCGCACUCUCUAUCAGCAAAGGUCUAGCAUCCAUUAAGCCUUUUUUUCAACUUUUGACCUCGGAUCAGGUAGGGAUACCCGCUGAACUUAAGCAUAUCAAUAAGCGGAGGA